UACAUGGGGUGCAAACGUUGCUCGGAAUUAUUGGGCGUAAAGCGCGCGUAGGCGGUUACUUAAGUCGGAUGUGAAAGCCCUCGGCUUAACUGAGGAAGUGCACCCGAAACUGAGUAGCUAGAGUACGAAAGAGGGUUGCGGAAUUCCCGGUGUAGAGGUGAAAUUCGUAGAUAUUGGGAGGAACACCGGUGGCGAAGGCGGCGACCUGGGUCGAGACUGACGCUGAGACGCGAAAGCGUGGGGAGCAAACAGG
This 253-nucleotide ribosomal RNA is filed under the name uncultured bacterium. RNAcentral's name for it is "partial 16S ribosomal RNA". It matches the Rfam family "Bacterial small subunit ribosomal RNA", at positions 524 to 776 of the family's 1533-position model. The record is from RNAcentral.